Small nuclear RNA from Apus apus (common swift), 124 nucleotides. RefSeq annotates it as U11 spliceosomal RNA. Lineage: Eukaryota; Metazoa; Chordata; Aves; Apodiformes; Apodidae. The transcript has a single exon. The record is from RefSeq and is a predicted model, not a curated record.
AAAAAGGGCUUCUGCCGUGCGUGGCACGAGGCGGCGGCGCCGCCCGCGGAAUCGGCAUCAAGAGAUUUCGGAAGCACAAUUUUUGUGUUGGGGGCCGCCGGUCACCGCCCGUGCCGGCGCCCCG